ACGACAAUGGCGCGAAGACAGCAAGGGAGAGAAUCUUGACGAUGGUAAUGAGAGCGAUAUGUUGAGAAUGGAUUUGAGAUACAUGACUGAUACUCGUGGAGAAAAAAAUCUCUUACCAAAGUGAACCAGACCCCUAACAUGUACGAACUACAACUGCAAGCUUCACAUUUGAUACGCCAUACAUGUAGUUCACCUCGACCACAACUGACAGGCCGAGACUUUUGAAACAUAAAAAGGGUCACAAAGACAUGGAAAAUGUCCAAUAUAAAUACACCAGAUCAAGGUCUCUUUCCAUCACCAACCAGCCAUGAUUCUCCUGUUUCAUUCCCUCGCUUCGCUUGCUCUGGCUCAGACACAACUUAAUGCCCCCUUCACAUCACUGGCUGUGGGCUUCAAGGGCGCUGGUAAUCUGCGUCAAACCUAUGAGGAUAUUAUUGAGGUAAAGCUAGGGUUUGAACUUGAUGCUACCACCACUGAAACAAUCCCACCCGGAGACUUCUUUGACAUGGUCAUUGACGGGAUGGUGAUGACGAGCCCCUACAGCUUUGAAGUUCUGGACUCUCUUGGAGCCCCAGUAUUUGUGGUUUCCAAUUUCGAAGGUAACUCCUUCAGAGCUGCAGCUACGGACUACUUCCUUGAGAAUGCCCCCCAAUCAAUUGAGGGAGAGAGAUGUGUUUGACGUCAUUUCUGCCAUGUCUGAAGGGGAGGUCUCUGUUUCAAUUGGGGACCUUACUGACUCACUUUCCAUCGUGGAAUUUGAUUUGACAGAACCAGAUGUGAGCAAUUACGCACCUUUCAUAAAACCCCGCUACCUUCAGGUUUGCUUCUCCCAUUGUCGAAGGAUCUUCUCACGAGUUUUGUUGUCACCGUCGAUGACAAUGUGAACAUUGUGGAGCCUAACGGCUUCGUCAGCCUCAACAAAUACAUUGAAUAUGGGGACGACGAUAUUAUCUAAAGGACGAUUGAACCUAGUCUUCUCGAAGACCUUGUUUUCACUUCUGAUCCGGUGUCUUUUACCCUUGUCAACAAUGUUCAAGACGAGCGGGUAGUGGCAGUUGCUUUCUCGGUUGAGGUUGAUGUAAUCAUGGAAAACUAGAUCAACUGUGGCCCCCUUGUACGUGACGGCGAGGAGCUCGCCAACUACUGUGUUGCGCCCGCCACUGGUGGUGAAUGGAAUCUAGGAGGUUCAGGAUCUGUUCAGGUGGUGGAACAGGAGGAGGAAUCUCCAGCUACCUCUGAAACUUCUUCGGCUGAAGAGUCUGCCACUACGUCGGCCGAAGUUGCGGCUACUUCGGAUGAGGAGUCUGCCACUACGUCGGCCGAGGUUGCGGCUACUUCUUCAGACAUAAGUCUACUCAUACUUCGGCUGCUACUUCAGAUGAAGUGUCUGCUACCGUGUGGAGGAGCUGCCUCUGCCACGAGUUCUAUCCUUGAGUCUGCCUCCAAUGACGGUUCUGCUACCACUAGAGAAGCCUCUGAUUCUGGUUCAAUCACUGAAGAUGCAUCUCCCGUAACAGCUUUCGGUUCGAGUCACUGGUUUGAUUUCUUCAAUUUUGGGAGAUGCUGGCUCUUCUACCAGAGUCGACGGUUCCGCUAUUGACGCUUCAGUUUCCGCCUCCCCUGCCUCUUCUGUCUCUUCUGCCACUGCCAGCACCCCUUCUUCAGGCUCUGGAACUUUUCCCACCUCUGUCUUUAUGACGAAUGUCACUGAGAUUGUAUCCACCACCUACUGCAAGCAAGGUAUUUGUGGCCACACUGUUGUAAUUUGGACUACAAAAGUUCCCGUUAUCCACACAGUCACCACCUGCCCUACUGUCAUUGAGGGUAAGACUCUGGCAGUGGUUGUUCCUUGUGCGGUGUGACCCAAACCAAGUCCAAACCCACUCAGGCUCUUUCCAGAAAGCCCGUUGAUACCGGAUCUGAUAGUGUCAUUACUGCUUCUUCGACUACAACUUCUGCAGCUUUGUCCACCAACACAGAUAUUCCCGAGCCCCGACCCACCAACUCGGUCGAGAUUCUUCUCACAACCCAGACUCUUGUUGAAAGCGGAGCAACCACCACCUUUACUGGCACCAUUGUUCUGACCAGAACUAUCGACACUUCCUCCACUCCUCAAGCCAAAGUUCCUCAGAUUGACUCCGUCCCCACCACUGUCGCUCAGGCCAACACUGGAUCCAAGUUGAUGGCUCGUCUUCAGCUUGUCCUUCUUCCUCUUUUGAUGAUGUAA
This 2227-nucleotide unclassified non-coding RNA is filed under the name Yarrowia lipolytica. The record is from RNAcentral. Lineage: Eukaryota; Fungi; Ascomycota; Dipodascomycetes; Dipodascales.